This 497-nucleotide ribosomal RNA is filed under the name uncultured bacterium. Its description in RNAcentral is "partial 16S ribosomal RNA". It matches the Rfam family "Bacterial small subunit ribosomal RNA", at positions 28 to 507 of the family's 1533-position model. The record is from RNAcentral.
GAUGAACGCUGGCGGCGUGCCUAAUACAUGCAAGUCGAGCGAACAGACGAGGAGCUUGCCCCUCUGACGUUAGCGGCGGACGGGUGAGUAACACGUGGAUAACCUACCUAUAAGACUGGGAUAACUUCGGGAAACCGGAGCUAAUACCGGAUAAUAUAUUGAACCGCAUGGUUCAAUAGUGAAAGACGGUUUUGCUGUCACUUAUAGAUCGAUCCGCGCCGCAUUAGCUAGUUGGUAAGGUAACGGCUUACCAAGGCAACGAUGCGUAGCCGACCUGAGAGGGUGAUCGGCCACACUGGAACUGAGACACGGUCCAGACUCCUACGGGAGGCAGCAGUAGGGAAUCUUCCGCAAUGGGCGAAAGCCUGACGGAGCAACGCCGCGUGAGUGAUGAAGGUCUUCGGAUCGUAAAACUCUGUUAUUAGGGAAGAACAAAUGUGUAAGUAACUAUGCACGUCUUGACGGUACCUAAUCAGAAAGCCACGGCUAACUACGUG